RNA transcript from Bufo bufo (common toad), 2388 nucleotides. It is a transcript of the gene named ecto-ADP-ribosyltransferase 5-like, with no coding region annotated. The record is from RefSeq and is a predicted model, not a curated record. Lineage: Eukaryota; Metazoa; Chordata; Amphibia; Anura; Bufonidae. The transcript is spliced from 7 exons.
GGGAGUGAAGGGGUUAAGAGAAGUUACAGUAACUCUGUCUCUGUCCAGAGCUCGGCUUCCUCUAAGUCGUUAAACCGGAAGCCGAAACUUCAACAAGAAAACGACUGGAGGCAACAAAGCAAAGCCCCUGAAUCCAGGAGAGCAGAGGACACCGAAUCCAGGGGAGCAGAGGACACCGAAUCCAGGGGACCAGAGGACACCGAAUCCAGGGGAGCAGAGGACACCGAAUCCAGGGGACCAGAGGACACCGAAUCCAGGGGACCAGAGGACACCGAAUUCAGGGGGCCAGAGGACACAGAAUCCAGGGGACCAGAGGACACCGAAUCCAGGGGAGCAGAGGACACCGAAUCCAGGGGACCAGAGGACACCGAAUCCAGGGGACCAGAGGACACCGAAUCCAGGGGACCAGAGGACACCGAAUCCAGGGGACCAGAGGACACCGAAUCCAGGGGAGCAGAGGACACCAAAUCCAGGGGAGCAGAGGACACCUAAUCCAGGGGAGCAGAGGACACCGAAUCCAGGGGAGCAGAGAUAACCGCAACCACAUCUAACUGUAAGGGGGCGACACGGAUAAUUUCCUAUGAUGUACCAUUCACUAAACCUCCUGUUUCUCACUUCGGUGUCUGUGUUUCUGGAUUUUGCCGGGAUCUGUCCAGAUCAGCAUGUAGAAGAUGGAGUCCAGAUUUCUAGUCUAAUAAGUUGGAAGAAAAGCAAGAAAGUUUCAGGAGGACAAACGAGUUCGGACAAGUACGACUUCCUGCCAUCGAUGAAAUGCAAGCAUCAGUUACUGGAUUUUAAUCGCAAUUCAUUUGACGACCAAUACAUUGGAUGCUCGGAUCAAUAUGAGACAGAUCUCAUGCCAAAAAUUUUAACUCGGGAGAAAUCCUUCAACUUGGCCUUUGGUUUGGCAUGGGACCGGGCAGCAGUACAGUGGAACAAAAUGAAGAGAACAGUGCAUCUUCCUGGUGAGUUUAGGGAUGAGUUUGGGAUAGCGAUCAUCGUCUACACCACAGACUGGCCAGAGAGCAGUCCAAUCUAUAAAGAACUCAAUGGGAAUGUGACCGUGGCUGGAAAGUCCAGAGGACACUACAUGGAGAACUUCCACUAUAAGGCUUUACACUUCUACUUGACUCGAGCCUUGCAAGUGCUAAGGAAGAACUCAAAAAGACAAACAAGAACUUAUAAAGUUUACAGGGGCACAGACAAGUCUCUGCAGGUAUCAGAGGAGGUGGAUCUGAGGUUUGGGAGAUUCACCUCUUCCUCUCGGAAUAUAGAAGUUGCUAAAGAAUAUUCAGAGGGAUUGUUCUUCGAGAUGACAACCUGCUUUGGAGUUGACAUCCACAGAAUCUCCUUCUUCCCAAAAGAGCAGGAAGUCUUGAUACCGGUGGCUGAGAAGUUUCGAUUUGUGGAAAAACAAGGGAACACUUAUGUUUUAGACAGCACAUGUGAAGUGUGCAGUCACUUCAACUGUACGUAUUUUGGAGACGAGAAACGGGAUUUCCCUGUGUGCAGUUUGGACUGUCCCUGUCGGAGUCUGAACCCGCAGUACUGUGUGUCUGAAGAUCAGCUGAACGCUCUCUCUGUCAGACGUUCUGUCACAUCAACAUACAAGCUCACAAUACAUAUGGCUUCUCUGGUUAGGUAGUGCCUAUGACACGUCAAUAUCGUCCCUCCUGAUUGGCUUAGGCUGACUGCAUGGGAUUAUGGGCAAGUCUACCGGCCGGGUGCCCAUCUUAGGUCCACUUCCCUGAAGAAAGCGCUCAGGAGGAAUCUUCUUAUACAAUAUGUGACCUGAGAUGUCAGUGCCAAGAAGACUCGUAAGUGGUGAGGAUCCACCGUGGAGAGAAGAAAUGGAAAUUAUGAAACAGGGAAGACCCAGCGAGCAAGUCUGGAUCACCAAAGACACAAAGACCCUAAAAGUAGUUGAUUUGUAACAGGGGACACGUGUUUGAGGCUGAACGGGCCCCCUGACACUGCAAUGACUCAGGCCCCUAUUGUGUGCAGCAUAUGAGGGACCUAUCACUGGUCACACUGACUAGAGCAUGAUUCACGGUGCACUGCUGGGGUAGAUGUAUGUGUGCCAGAUUUCUGCCCCUGCAUUCCAGGAAGCAGUAAGAGCUCUGACCUCACCGAAUGGAUGCUCAAAAAUAUCAUAAAGUAGUAAUCAUGGGGGUCAGGGAGGGAUCUACAAUGCCUGUCAUUCUUCGAAUUGAAGCCUAGCCUCCCCUGAUAACAGAAAGCAAUAGUUUGUAUUUCCCUGCAUUACCAGUGGAAGGAAGAAGGCAGCGGGCCAAGUCAGAAAGCAGAUGAAGACUGACACCUAGUGGUAAUGCAGGGUAACUGCAUCAUGUAAUAAAGUGCUUCAACAAUAAAAUGAUUAUACAUUUU